AAGAGAUUAAGAAAUAAAAUAGCUGCUAACUAAUUUUAUAAGCGGUUAAAAUCCGUUUAUCUCUUA
RNAcentral lists this transfer RNA (66 nucleotides) under Trocnadella arisana. RNAcentral describes it as "tRNA-Ser". Lineage: Eukaryota; Metazoa; Arthropoda; Insecta; Hemiptera; Cicadellidae. The record is from RNAcentral.